GACGAACGCUGGCGGCGUGCUUAACACAUGCAAGUCGAACGGAAAGGCCCUGCUUUUGUGGGGUGCUCGAGUGGCGAACGGGUGAGUAACACGUGAGUAACCUGCCCUUGACUUUGGGAUAACUUCAGGAAACUGGGGCUAAUACCGGAUAGGAGCUCCUGCUGCAUGGUGGGGGUUGGAAAGUUUCGGCGGUUGGGGAUGGACUCGCGGCUUAUCAGCUUGUUGGUGGGGUAGUGGCUUACCAAGGCUUUGACGGGUAGCCGGCCUGAGAGGGUGACCGGCCACAUUGGGACUGAGAUACGGCCCAGACUCCUACGGGAGGCAGCAGUGGGGAAUAUUGCACAAGGGGCGGAAGCCUGAUGCAGCAACGCCGCGGGCGGGAUGACGGCCUUCGGGUUGUAAACCGCUUUCGCCUGUGACGAAGCGUGAGUGACGGUAAUGGGUAAAGAAGCACCGGCUAACUACGUGC
Molecule: ribosomal RNA, 469 nt
Filed under: uncultured bacterium
Lineage: Bacteria
Description: partial 16S ribosomal RNA
Rfam family: Bacterial small subunit ribosomal RNA
Source: RNAcentral